This 253-nucleotide ribosomal RNA is filed under the name uncultured bacterium. RNAcentral describes it as "partial 16S ribosomal RNA". It matches the Rfam family "Bacterial small subunit ribosomal RNA", at positions 524 to 776 of the family's 1533-position model. The record is from RNAcentral.
UACAGAGGGUGCAAGCGUUAAUCGGAAUUACUGGGCGUAAAGCGUGCGUAGACGGUUAUUUAAGUCAGGUGUGAAGGCCCCGGGCUCAACCUGGGAAUUGCAUUUGAGACUGAAUAGCUAGGGUGCGGAAGAGGGAAGCGGAAUUUCCGGUGUAGCGGUGAAAUGCGUAGAUAUCGGAAGGAACACCAGUGGCGAAAGCGGCUUCCUGGUCCAGCACCGACGUUCAGGCACGAAAGCGUGGGGAGCAAACAGG